GAAGACCACUACGCCUUUGAUGUUCCAUUUUAACCUAUUAAAAAGCAAGGAACUUGGAAAUAAAGUCAUUAAUGUCCCAUUUUAUACCUAGCCACCAAAAAUGGAGCCUCAGAUCUUGAUACAUCUUAAUGCUACUAGGGUGGAUGGCCAAUUUAGAGGCAUGAGCUUCCUUCAUUUGAUAGCAGGUUAGAUCUUAAUCUAGGUAAGAUAGACACCUUUGCCUCGAUGAUUUAAUUGAAGAUUCUGAAUUUCUUCAAGCAUCUUCAACCUUGAAACCAUCAUUUGUGCCAACAAGGUUGAGUUCUUCCUACUAAGAGAAUCAAUAACAACAUUAGCCUUACUGGGAUGGUAUAUGAUCUUGUAGU
RNAcentral lists this long non-coding RNA (365 nucleotides) under Carica papaya (papaya). Its description in RNAcentral is "long non-coding RNA (CPAP_LNC010183)". Lineage: Eukaryota; Viridiplantae; Streptophyta; Magnoliopsida; Brassicales; Caricaceae. The record is from RNAcentral.